This 223-nucleotide unclassified non-coding RNA is filed under the name Hevea brasiliensis (rubber tree). The record is from RNAcentral. Lineage: Eukaryota; Viridiplantae; Streptophyta; Magnoliopsida; Malpighiales; Euphorbiaceae.
GGCUAUCCAGGUCCACAAAAUGCUACAGGGUAUCCGAACCUAACUGGGUCCAUGGAAAUUAAGAUUCCAAGUAGUGCAGUGGCUUCUGUUCUUGGGGUGAACGGGGGUAAUAUAGCCGAUAUCCGUCAGAUAUCAGGAGCAAGAGUAAAAAUAAAUGAUCCAAUUCCUGGUGGGUCUGAAUGUGUGGUGGAAAUUCAUGGAUCUUCGGAGCAGAUGAAGGCAG